AAACCUUUAAAGUGCUGUGGGGCCGCCUUGAAUUGCCUUGUUGCCAUAGCUGGGGGUAUCGUCAAACCUCCAAGGGCUUUUUCAGGGAUAAUUAUUAUGCUGAUAAUGCCAUAAUUAGAACCCCAGCCACAGUGGGGGAGUCUGCUGCUCCUGGUUUUGUGCAGACMUCAGGGGGAAGAUAGACCCCACCAUUCUGGAUCAGAUACCACCUGAGGAGCCUCUGAGAAACAUUUAAGAAACUUUCCUGAUGCAGGGCCACAUCCGGCUUGUUUCCUCUAGGUUUGGAAAGCACCAAUACCAGCAGGAAAGCAAGAAAGGAAAUGAAAUCCAGCACUACUGUAGAAACAAAGAAAGGAUCAUCUGUUGUCCAGAAGGGUUCAGUUCCAUUACCAAGUUUAUCUUCUAGUCAUGUGAAGAGAAAAAGUAAAAAACAGUUCUCAGAAAAUGUAAACGAACCUAUGGUUUUAAAACCAGCAACUCUAGUGGAAUCUUACUUAGAUCAGUCCUUACAGAUUUCAUCUCUAAAUAAAGAUGGUAUGCUGGAUGAACUGCAGAUGCUAGGUGAUAUCACUAAACAUCUAAAUCAGCAGAAAGAUCAUGAGGAUAUGACUGAGUCACUGUUGUGUUUCUCAACAAUCUCAUCACAGUUAGAAGCAUCAUUUGAUGAAGAAAGAGAAAUAUUAGAAUCUUUGGCUAAGUGGUUUGGAAAAGAAGCCCAACUGAUGGAAGAAAAACUUUUGAAUCAAUGA
Apteryx rowi (Okarito brown kiwi) is the source of this 749-nucleotide long non-coding RNA. Lineage: Eukaryota; Metazoa; Chordata; Aves; Apterygiformes; Apterygidae. The record is from Ensembl.